AACUCAUCGUGCCUAAUUGUUUACAAUCUGUUCGACGAAACAUGGCUGCUGUCAAGUGAGCUGUUGAUGGUGUACCGAACAGUUACAAUUCACUUAUAUGUUCUCUUUAAUUAUUUAUUUUAAAUAUUUUAAUUCAUAACAGUGUAUUGUAACGGGGAUAGUUUCAAUAGUUUUCGUUUUACUUUGGAACCGUCACAGAUUCCUUCACCCGCGAUAACGCGCCAGUUAGCAUCACUAGCUAACUAGCUCAAGGAGAACAAUGACGGCAAGCUCAUCGGGUGGAAACACCUGUCUCACUGCUAAAGGUUUGGACAUUAGUCUCGCAGCCCUGCAAAGACAAGAUCCUUACAUCAACAACAUUGUAGAUGUUGCGAGUCAAGUGGCGUUGUAUACUUUCAACAACCGAUCAAAUGAAUGGGAGAAGACUGAUGUGGAGGGGACCCUGUUUGUCUAUACAAGGCUAGCAUCUCCCAGACACGGCUUCACCAUAAUGAACAGGCUGAGUAUGGAGAACCUGACUGAACCCAUCACUAAAGACCUGGACUUCCAGCUGCAGGAUCCGUUCCUGCUCUACAGGAAUGCUCGCUUAGCUAUCUAUGGCAUCUGGUUCUAUGAUAAGGCGGACUGCCAGCGCAUCGCAGAGCUUAUGAAGUAUCUGACGAAACAGGAACAGGCCCUAGCCCAGCGGGGUGAGCAGGGUCAGGGGGGCUUGGUGUCUCCUCGAGCCCUGGAGGCAGCAGGGGACCCUGGGAAGGGACAAGGAGUGGACAUCCUGCAGAUGCUGACCAAAGCACGCAAUGAGUAUGACAAGGGUGGCCAACCAGAGCCUAAAGAGAUAAUGUCUGUUAUUGUCUCUCUUUCCUCUCAGGGUGGCCAACCAGAGCCUAAAGAGAUCGGAGGGUGUAGUGUCCUUAAUGCCAACCCCAGCCUGAUCAAACCUAUCCCUGUCAAACCUAUGGAGAGAUAUCCCCAGCCUGGGCUACAGGAGAGGCCUGUUCAGGAUGGUCGAGGAGAGCCCAGGCCUCUCUCUCUGGCCACUCUGUUUGGUGUCCAGCAGCCCAGAGCAGAGCUGGUCUCUCCCAUGGCUGGGUCAGGAGGUCCAGGGUCCCAGCCCCAGGGGAGGCCUGGAGGUGUCCGCCCGGCGGUGGCCCGCUCCUUGUCCUACGACGACCCAGUCCAGGCCCAGCUCCAUCUCCAGGCCCAGGAAGGGGGUCUGAUCUCAGGUAGCAGCCCCCCGCAGCACUGCCCUGCCUUCCAGAAGCUCAUGAAGGAUGCCGCCUCCUCCUCCCAGCCUCAGAAGCAGCUCCAGAGAGGAGGUCCUAUGGAGCAGCUCCAGAGAGGAGGUCCUAUGGAGCAGCUCCAGAGAGGAGGUCCUAUGGAGCAGCUCCAGAGAGGAGGUCCUAUGGAGCAGCUCCAACCCGUCUGCGAGUCACCCGAGAACAGACUGCAUGAGAACGGAGCCCCCUCUGUCCUCCACCAUCAGACCCAGGCCAGACAAGACCCCAUCCAGAGACUGUUCCAGAACCAGCCCACUUCCACCACCCCUUCAAUGACCACCUCCGCUCCCUGUUGUCCUCGUCCUCCUCCUCUCAUCCCUGGUCUCCAGUCUGCCCGUCCUCAGCCUCUCCUGGUGGAUGCUUUGGGCUUCCCUGGUUCUCAACACCAUCACCUCCCUCCUCACCAGGCCCGGCCGUUGUACUUCAGCCCCACCAAGCACCCCCAGAUGCUGGUCCCCAUGUUGCCCUCACACCCCUCCCAGUCUCAACCUCCCCACCAACCCCAUCCUGGUCAUCCUCAGUCACAGCCCUGUCACCCUUUCCACCCCUUCCAGCACCCCCAGCCCUUAUACCUCCAACCCCUGCCAGGUCACCCCCAGCCGGGGCAGCUAACCGGUGUCGUCUCCCCCCAUGAGCUGCUCCAGAGGCUGCAGCUGGUUCAACAGGAGCAGAGUCUGGUCCCAGAGCCCACUAGGCCUUCCUCUAACCUGGCUCCUCGCUUCCACGAGCCAGCCCCUCUAGCCCCCUCAGCCCCCCCAGCCAUGGCGCAGCACGGCCAGCAGUCGGCUCAUUCUACAGCCAGGUCUCUGGACAGUUUGGCUGACAAGAACUCUGCAGGCACCGCUGCUCAGAAGUUCCAGGUGAUCUCCCCCCAGCGUAUCCCAGCCACAGUGGCACCUACCCUGCUCCUGUCCCCCAGUGUCUUCUCCCAGGCCAAGCGCCCCCAGGCCAAAGCCUCUGGGGACACCCACUGCCCCCCUGGCCCUCAUCCUCCCUCAGCCCUCCUGGCCCCACAGGCCCCGGACGACCCCCAACCCAGGGGCCUCUCUAAGAGCCAGCUCCAGGCCACCCUGCUGCACCUCAUACAGGUAGGAGAGAGGAGGAGCCAGGCUGUUUUUACAGGAACAAAGUUACACGGAACAAAAAUAUAUAUAUUAGCAUCGCGCAACAAUUUCAAUGCUUGUACGUGUUCACAGUUCAUAUAAGGCAGUGGUCGCCAAGCGGUCGAUCCAGAUCAACUGGUUGGUCUUCAAGGCAUUACUAGUCGAGUCAUUCCUGACCUUUCUGGAGGACAGACAACGAUGAAGGAUUGCACUUAUUUAUUUUUUUAUUUUUUUGCCCUGUUGGCGGUGGGUGCACUUGAUUCAGAAGCCCUGUUGGCGGUGGGUGCACUUGAUUCAGAAGCCCUGUUGGCGGUGGGUGCACUUGAUUCAGAAGCCCUGUUGGCGGUGGGUGCACUUGAUUCAGAAGCCCUGUUGGCGGUGGGUGCACUUGAUUCAGAAGCCCUGUUGGCGGUGGGUGCACUUGAUUCAGAAGCCCUGUUGGCGGUGGGUGCACUUGAUUCAGAAGCCCUGUUGGCGGUGGGUGCACUUGAUUCAGAAGCCCUGUUGGCGGUGGGUGCGCUUGAUUCAGAAGCCCUGUUGGCGGUGGGUGCGCUUGAUUCAGAAGCCCUGUUGGCGGUGGGUGCACUUGAUUCAGAAGCCCUGUUGGCGGUGGGUGCACUUGAUUCAGAAGCCCUGUUGGCGGUGGGUGCACUUGAUUCAGAAGCCCUGUUGGCGGUGGGUGCACUUGAUUCAGAAGCCCUGUUGGCGGUGGGUGCACUAGAUUCAGAAGCCCUGUUGGCGGUGGGUGCACUUGAUUCAGAAGCCCUGUUGGCGGUGGGUGCACUUGAUUCAGAAGCCCUGUUGGCGGUGGGUGCACUUGAUUCAGAAGCCCUGUUGGCGGUGGGUGCACUAGAUUCAGAAGCCCUGUUGGCGGUGGGUGCACUUGAUUCAGAAGCCCUGUUGGCGGUGGGUGCACUCGAUUCAGAAGCCCUGUUGGCGGUGGGUGCACUCGAUUCAGAAGCCCUGUUGGCGGUGGGUGCACUCGAUUCAGAAGCCCUGUUGGGGGUAGGUGCACGCGAUUCAGAAGCCCUGUUGGGGGUAGGUGCACGCGAUUCAGAAGCCCUGUUGGGGGUAGGUGCACUCGAUUCAGAAGCCCUGUUGGGGGUAGGUGCACUCGAUUCAGAAGCCCUGUUGGGGGUAGGUGCACUUGUAAAGAAAUUAGUGCAUUUUUUUUUUAGAUAUAAGCUUUUUGUUCCGUUUGGAACUUUUCUGGGAUCUUUUAUUUCAGCUCAUGAAACAUGGGACCAAGACUUUACAUGUUUCUAUUUCUCUUCAAUGUAUUUACAUAACAAGACUAGCAAGUCUGCAGGCGUCAAACUCUCUCUCCCCUCCUUGAAGAAGCAGCUGGUCUCACACAGCCAAAUGGUUUGUCCUGGUUCCUGCCUUUAUGUUUAUAUUCACUGUCUUUCUGCUCAGGACACCGUCAGAGACACAAUGUUUAUGUUCAGUCUUUGUACAGCCAGACAGACACUGUCCUGCUAAAGACAGCUGUUUCAGACCAGCGCAGACAGACAGACAGACAG
RNA transcript from Oncorhynchus keta (chum salmon), 3903 nucleotides. It is a transcript of the gene named decapping mRNA 1B, with no coding region annotated. The record is from RefSeq and is a predicted model, not a curated record. The transcript is spliced from 10 exons. NCBI's taxonomy places the organism in Eukaryota, Metazoa, Chordata, Actinopteri, Salmoniformes, Salmonidae.